Molecule: ribosomal RNA, 253 nt
Filed under: uncultured bacterium
Lineage: Bacteria
Description: partial 16S ribosomal RNA
Rfam family: Bacterial small subunit ribosomal RNA
Source: RNAcentral
UACGUAGGGGGCAAGCGUUGUCCGGAUUUAUUGGGCGUAAAGAGCGUGUAGGCGGCCAGGUAGGUCCGUUGUGAAAACUCGAGGCUCAACCUCGAGACGCCGAUGGAAACCAUCUGGCUAGAGCCCGGAAGAGGAGAGUGGAAUUCCCGGUGUAGCGGUGAAAUGCGCAGAUAUCGGGAAGAACACCCGUGGCUAAGGCGGCUCUCUAGUACGGUACUGACGCUGAGACGCGAAAGCGUGGGGAGCGAACAGG